Long non-coding RNA from Etheostoma spectabile (orangethroat darter), 80 nucleotides. RefSeq lists it as uncharacterized. Lineage: Eukaryota; Metazoa; Chordata; Actinopteri; Perciformes; Percidae. The transcript has 3 exons. The record is from RefSeq and is a predicted model, not a curated record.
AAACCUGGAGCAUGUAGAUACAGCUUUAGGUGAGAAAGGAGUUCAAAACAAAUGGCGCUGGGCAUGAAUAGAGGACAAGA